Molecule: ribosomal RNA, 202 nt
Filed under: Escherichia coli
Lineage: Bacteria; Pseudomonadati; Pseudomonadota; Gammaproteobacteria; Enterobacterales; Enterobacteriaceae
Also listed under: 5 other names
Description: partial 23S ribosomal RNA
Rfam family: Bacterial large subunit ribosomal RNA
Source: RNAcentral
CCAAUGGCACUGCCCGGUAGCUAAAUGCGGAAGAGAUAAGUGCUGAAAGCAUCUAAGCACGAAACUUGCCCCGAGAUGAGUUCUCCCUGAGACUUAGAGUCUCCUGAAGGAACGUUGAAGACGACGACGUUGAUAGGCCGGGUGUGUAAGCGCAGCGAUGCGUUGAGCUAACCGGUACUAAUGAACCGUGAGGCUUAACCUU